Molecule: ribosomal RNA, 404 nt
Filed under: Verrucomicrobiota bacterium
Lineage: Bacteria; Pseudomonadati; Verrucomicrobiota
Description: Verrucomicrobia bacterium partial 16S ribosomal RNA
Rfam family: Bacterial small subunit ribosomal RNA
Source: RNAcentral
UGGGGAAUAUUGCACAAUGGGGGAAACCCUGAUGCAGCGACGCCGAGUGAGCGAUGAAGGCUUUCGAGUCGUAAAGCUCUGUCCUAUGGGAAGAUAAUGACGGUACCAUAGAAGAAAGCCCCGGCUAAUUACGUGCCAGCAGCCGCGGUAAUACGUAAGGGGCGAGCGUUGUCCGGAAUUAUUGGGCUUAAAGGGCAUCUAGGCGGUAAGACAAGUUGAAGGUGAAAACCUGUGGCUCAACCAUAGGCUUGCCUACAAAACUGUUGAACUAGAGUACUGGAAAGGUGGGUGGAACUACACGAGUAGAGGUGAAAUUCGUAGAUAUGUGUAGGAAUGCCGAUGAUGAAGAUAACUCACUGGACAGAAACUGACGCUGAAGUGCGAAAGCUAGGGGAGCAAACAGG